RNAcentral lists this long non-coding RNA (312 nucleotides) under Setaria viridis. RNAcentral's name for it is "long non-coding RNA (SVIR_LNC005619)". The record is from RNAcentral. Lineage: Eukaryota; Viridiplantae; Streptophyta; Magnoliopsida; Poales; Poaceae.
UCUUGACCCGCUAAUCUUGACAACGACAGUUGGCGCGCCAGGUAGGGGACCUUUGCACGUACAUCACCGGCUUCAGAUGGGCCAGUCGCGACGCCAGCUUCGCUCCUAGCUCCCUCGUCCGCUUCGGGAGUCUGGACUUCCUCGCCAUCAGGGACGGGAUCAAGCCGAUCCCUCUCCUUGUCUUGCCCGCUCGCCCCAUCAUCUCUAGCUCCGCCGCCAGGGUAGUAGCGAGCGGCCGGGCGCGCGCCGAGGGGCCUCCUUCGGAGGAGUGGCCCUUCGGGCUGCGCAAUGCCGCGGCGACCUACGGUCAUC